AGGAAAUAAUAAUAAAACAAACCUAUUUACACUGGCGGCAUUUCAUCUAUUUAGAGGAACUUGUUUAAUAAUCGACACCCCACGAUAAUUUUACUUAAAUUUAAAACUUAUAUAUCGCCGUCUAAAGAAUCAAUUAAAAUAUAUUAUUCCCAAUAAUAAAUAAAAAGUUAGGUCAAGGUGUAGUCAAUAUUAAAGCUCAAAUGAGUUACUUUAAAUACAAUUCAAGGAUUAUUAAACUUAAAUUUUUUAUUAAAAAGGAUUUAACAGUAAUAUAAAAAUAAUUACUCUAUAUGAAAAAGAUAAUAAGUGUGU
This 312-nucleotide ribosomal RNA is filed under the name Doliomalus sp. MR225. RNAcentral describes it as "partial 12S ribosomal RNA". Lineage: Eukaryota; Metazoa; Arthropoda; Arachnida; Araneae; Trochanteriidae. The record is from RNAcentral.